GUAAAACUUUAGGGGUGCGUUACGCUGAGAAAUACCCUUUGAACCUGAUGCAGUUAGUACUGCCGAAGGGAAAAGUGAAACAACUUCC
RNAcentral lists this non-coding RNA (88 nucleotides) under Arcticibacter svalbardensis MN12-7. RNAcentral's name for it is "TPP riboswitch aptamer (THI element)". It matches the Rfam family "TPP riboswitch aptamer (THI element)". Rfam says of the family: Vitamin B(1) in its active form thiamin pyrophosphate (TPP) is an essential coenzyme that is synthesised by coupling of pyrimidine and thiazole moieties in bacteria. The previously detected thiamin-regulatory element, thi box was extended, resulting in a new, highly conserved RNA secondary structure, the THI element, which is widely distributed in eubacteria and also occurs in some archaea. Analysis of operon structures identified a large number of new candidate thiamin-regulated genes, mostly transporters, in various prokaryotic organisms. The record is from Rfam by way of RNAcentral. Lineage: Bacteria; Pseudomonadati; Bacteroidota; Sphingobacteriia; Sphingobacteriales; Sphingobacteriaceae. RNAcentral also lists the same sequence under 1 other name.